This 1366-nucleotide unclassified non-coding RNA is filed under the name Megachile rotundata (alfalfa leafcutting bee). RNAcentral's name for it is "sugar transporter ERD6-like 1, transcript variant X4". The record is from RNAcentral. Lineage: Eukaryota; Metazoa; Arthropoda; Insecta; Hymenoptera; Megachilidae.
GAGGAGCAUAUUCUCUCCUCCAAAGUUAGGUUCCUCCUCUCCUGGAGGAGAGAAUAUGCUCCUCCAUCUGGCAUAACCUACACUAACCUAACUUUCAUACCCAAAUGCGACAAGUACUUAUCAAUCAUUCCCACGCUUCGUACCGACAGGUUCAGAUUUAUGGAACAAUUACAAUACAGUUUUCAAACUUUCGCACAUAUAAAUACUUAUCGUACAUAUGAACGUAAUUUCUUGUUUAAUAUUAAUAUAAAAUUCUGACUCAUAAAAUUCCCCUUCUUCCUAAUGCAAGCCAGCCGCGAUAAAAAAUGAAUCAAACAGUUUCUGAUGCGAAGCGCGUAUACGUGUACGUCUUGUUGUUACGUUCCAAUCCCGCCUUGCGACUAUUAACGAUAAGUACAGCACUGUACCUGUCACAGAAUUGACUAGGAAUUACUCUUGAUACUAUGACACUAUCACAUUUAGCUUUAGUUUCGAGUAAUUUGUGCAUGUUAUCUUGUGGCAUUUCCUUUGCGUGGGCAUUUCCAUCGUUAUUUGCUUUAGAACAAGUUAAUAACCCCCUUCAACAUUUAUGGAUUACAUUAAGUUACUACAUUGGUGGAAUAAUAGGUUCUAUUUGCUGUAGUUACUUAUUAAAUGCAGUCGGUCGAAAAUGGUCUUUGCUCAUCGCGACGAUAACAGGAAUGGUAGGAUGGAUGAUGAUUGCUUUUGCAACAUCGAAACAGGUAUUCGCGAUGGGAAGAUACAUGGCCGGAAUAAGUACGAGUUUUGGAUACAUAUCUGCUAUUAUAUAUGUGGGUGAGACAUCGCCAGCUAAUGUACGAGGAAUAUCAACGUCCACGUUGAUCGUGGCGGCAAAUAUCGGCAUGUACAUCAAAUGGACGAUAAGUUCGUAUUUAUCAACGAUAAGCAUGGUAUUGGUGUCAACUAUAGCACCUAUUCUCUUGCUCUUAAGUAUUUCAUGGGCACCGGAAUCCCCAUAUUUUUUAAUGCAACGAGGAAAACAUCUCGAGGCGAUUCUGUCGCUCGUGGCAUUACGAGAAAGCGCGGAUGUUGGCGAAGAGGCUGACACAAUCGAGAGAUCCAUGAAAACAGAUCUAGCCAAUACUAGAAACUUGUGUGAAACUGGUAAUCGCAACUAUUUAUAACCAAUCAGGAAGUCAUAUAACCGUAUCUUAUUGUUAGAUUAUGAAGUGGGCAGAGAAACAGACAGUUUCAUGAAUGAUAAGAUAUAAUGCCACAGUAAAUGUUACAAGUGAACAUAUACAUGAAAAUAAGUGACAUGCAUAUGGCAUUAAUUACUGUGCUGAGUCUUAUGGUAAUUGAACAAUGGAGUGGUCAGAUGAUCCUAUGGGACACCUUUAUCUCU